UGAAAACUUAACAGGCAUUUCUUCUUCUUGUGUACACCCGACCACAUCGCCACCACUGAAUGAAGCAGCAUCGACACACUUAACAGAUACUAAAGGAGUACAGAUGUACGUCUAUUUUUCAGUUCAUCUUGAAGUUAUUCUUGUAAUGUGCUUAGAGUUCCUAAUGGAUACUUAAAGAUUACAUAUGUGCGUGAGUUUUCCAGUUCAAUUCAAAUAAUUCUUGAAAUGCUCUCUGAGCGCUUAAUGGAUGUUUAAGAUAUACAGAUGCACGUAGAUUCUUUGGUUAAUCUUACUGGUUAAGUCUGCUUAUAUCGAUGCUUCUUAAACCAUAGUCCGUGAUCCAUUGAUGGGUCAUGCAGAAAAAUAGUGGAAUAACGAAAUCUUCACAUCGCAUUUAUUAAGGCUGUUACUGAGUGGAUUAGCUGGAAUAAUCACUAUUAUUCCAUUUCAUAAACACUAUCUUAUGACUGAUGAGACUUUAAGAUUUCUUUCUGCUGAAGACUGCAGAGAACAGUUCGAGGAUUAUUUCGAUGAUGGCAUGUGACCUGCAGAAGCAACCAAAUACUACAAAGAAAUUCUGGAGAUGAAAUCAGAUUUCCAGCCAAGUGAUCUAGCAAAUAGUAAGAUUAAUACUACUCAAAGAACUAUUGAAUAUUUGUAUUAAAAAUGGCGGCUUCUUCAUCUGGGAUUUCAAAAUGGCAAUGAUUGAAAAAUUGAAGGAAAAAAUAACAACUUAUGCAAAUUACAAUAUAGCAGUUGAUUAUGAAGAAACUCUUUUUGUUCUUGCAAUUCUGACCCCAAAUAUAAAAAGAUCUUACUGCUUACCAACAUCGCAAGAGACAAUUUUUAUUGAUUCCACAAGUUCCUGCAAUUCAGAAAGUCAUUCUGUGAUAUUCAUGCUCGGAUCCUGUACUACCGGAGCAGUACAUCUUCAUCACUAAAGGUCAAACAGAGGAUCCUUAUAAACAAGGCUUUACUUUAGUUUUGAAUAUUUGAAAAUAAUCAGUUUUCCAUCAUAAAGGGAAUCCUACAACUUUCAUUACAGAUAAUUCAGAAACUGAAAUUUCUGCCUUAAAGAAAAUUCGGCCUGAAAGUCAGCAUUACCUUUGCAUUUUUCAUACGGGACAGGCUGUUUGGAGAUGGCUUUAGAAAUCUAAAAAUGGAAUCUCAAAUAAUUAUAGAAAACAACUCAUGUCUCAGUUUCAGAAAAUAAUGGAUGCUGAGACACCAGCUUGGGCAGAACAAGCAUGUUUUAAUGCAAUUGGCUAUACUGGUCUUUAUAUUCCAACUUUUCCAUAAUGGAAUAAUUACUUGUUGAAACAUUGGAGUAGAAAAGAAUUGUUGUAUUUUGCUUUUUGAGAUGAAACCAUCAGAGGUCACAAAACCAAUGACUUUCCAGAAAUGGUCAUGAGAAUAUUUAAAGAUGAAGUUCUAUCAUGAGUAAAGGUAAAUAGUUACCUUGGUAGAUUUCUGUUCAACCAAGCUGAAAAAUUACUAUAGAAGAUAAGAGUUUGCUAAUUAGCGAAAUGCUUCACCAAAGUUUUUUCUUGAAAAAAUGAAGAAAAUAGCAUUGAACAUCAAACUAGAACAUAUUAAAAAAGUGAAAUCUAAUGAAUGUCUCUGUUUUCUGUUUAGUGUGGUAAAGAAGUUUAUUCUGUUGAUGUUUUAAGUGCUUGCUGUUCUUGCUCUUCUGGAAGGUUAGAGAAGAUUUGCAAACAUCUGUUCGCUGUUUAUUAUUAUCACAAUGUUUAUGGUAAAAACUUCCUUCCAGUUGAAGCGAAAGAGAAACAACAAAUAUCUUAUUUGGUACUUGGAGAGAAAGCUCUAUCAAUUUAUUUUUUACCAACCAUUUCAACUGGAUGUAUGAAAUUAAAUUAAUUAAUAGGAAUAAUGAAUCUCGGUAGAAUCCCUACAUCACUUCUGUCUUCAUGCUACAGUGAGUCAUUCUACUGAUAAUAACAUUUAUUCAUGCAGCGAUAAAAAUUCACGUAAGAAAGAAUUACAUGAAAAAUUGAUGAAAUUAUUUAUAGUUGGUCUUGAAAAAUUUGAAUCUUCUGAAAAAGGAUAAUUAUCUUCGAAGUUAUUUCUGAAAAGCGAUAACAUGCAGUCGGAAAAUAAAAGGUUUAAGAGAGCGAGAGAGAGAGUGAGACUGUAUGUCCACCAGGAGAACACUUCCCGCCAAAUGUCUAUAUUUACGGCGGGCGUCAUAGAAACAGAUUUCGGUAGGGAAGAUCCAUUUCGAAUAGGAGGAAUCGGACGAAAGUCUCAGGGUUAUUUUUUCUUGGCGUCAGUUUAAAGCGAUAGAAAAAGCUGUUAUCAUUCAUCUUCGACAUAAAUCUGUUCCCAGUGUAUCAUUAUUGCUUUUUCUAUAA
Argiope bruennichi is the source of this 2372-nucleotide long non-coding RNA. RefSeq lists it as uncharacterized. The record is from RefSeq and is a predicted model, not a curated record. The transcript has 4 exons. NCBI's taxonomy places the organism in Eukaryota, Metazoa, Arthropoda, Arachnida, Araneae, Araneidae.